Homo sapiens (human) is the source of this 148-nucleotide non-coding RNA. It matches the Rfam family "Metazoan signal recognition particle RNA". Rfam says of the family: The signal recognition particle (SRP) is a universally conserved ribonucleoprotein. It is involved in the co-translational targeting of proteins to membranes. The record is from Rfam. Lineage: Eukaryota; Metazoa; Chordata; Mammalia; Primates; Hominidae.
GCUGGGUGUGGUGGUGCACGCCUGCAGUCCCAGCUACUCAGGAGGCUGAGGCAGGAGGAUCACGUGAGCCCAGGAGUUCGAGGUUGCAGUGAGCUCCAGUCACACCACUGCACUCCAGCCUGGGCCACAGAGCGAGACCCUGUCUCUA